RNAcentral lists this ribosomal RNA (253 nucleotides) under uncultured bacterium. RNAcentral's name for it is "partial 16S ribosomal RNA". It matches the Rfam family "Bacterial small subunit ribosomal RNA", at positions 524 to 776 of the family's 1533-position model. The record is from RNAcentral.
UACAGAGGUCUCAAGCGUUGUUCGGAUUCAUUGGGCGUAAAGGGUGCGUAGGCGGCGCGGUAAGUCGGGUGUGAAAUCUCGGAGCUUAACUCCGAAACUGCAUUCGAUACUGCCGUGCUUGAGGACUGGAGAGGAGACUGGAAUUUACGGUGUAGCGGUGAAAUGCGUAGAUAUCUGAAGGAACACCAGUGGCGAAAGCGGCUUCCUGGUCCAGCACCGACGUUCAGGCACGAAAGCGUGGGGAGCAAACAGG